GAGCCAGUGGCGCAAUGGAUAGCGAGUCUUACUACGGUUCAGAAGUUUCUAUGUUCGACUCCUGGCUGGCUCG
Molecule: transfer RNA, 73 nt
Filed under: Dallia pectoralis (Alaska blackfish)
Lineage: Eukaryota; Metazoa; Chordata; Actinopteri; Esociformes; Umbridae
Description: tRNA-Arg
Source: RNAcentral